AUUCAGCUGAUGAGUCCUAAAUAGGACGAAACGUGAGUCCUGGAU
RNAcentral lists this non-coding RNA (45 nucleotides) under Schistosoma margrebowiei. The record is from RNAcentral. Lineage: Eukaryota; Metazoa; Platyhelminthes; Trematoda; Strigeidida; Schistosomatidae.